AUUUCUAUUUGUCUGAGAUGGAAAACAGCUCAUGAUUGCCUGUUCCCCGAAUGAGAGCAUCAGUGGCAUCAGGAGGCAGGGAUCUCCUGCAGUACAUUGGGUACUAUCAGAUCUAUCAAGAGAGACUCGGCUUAGGCAAUGCAUCCAGUAACCUACAGAUAGUAAAUGGGGAUGCCAAAUUCAUAUUGAGACAUAGCGAGGUGGCUUGAGGCAAACAAAUAUUGAUCUGACAGGGAUGCUGCAGUGUGGUUCGAAAGAUAACAUGCAUACCCAAAAAUGGAUGGAGCUCAAUAAUGGAAUGAAGGAGAGCCAGUGAGUUUCGCUGCUAUCUGCGUCAGCCAGGAUCUCCUCAUUCCAGAAGAAUAACUGGAGGGGUCUGGGGUAGCAUCGAUCCUUGUGUAUCAGCCGGGAAAUGGAGAAGCUUGUUCUAAAUUCACUUGAAGCCAAAUUACAAAGGAGCAGACGGGAUCCCAGACACAAAGAUGGUACCAGCUACGAUUUAAGAUCCCAAGAAGAUGAAUCUGGAGUGGACCAAAAUCUGGUGUCGAGACUUACACCCUGUGUCAGCCAGCUGCCUGUGACCAUGACAAUCUGAGAUGGGUCAAUUUAAGGAGAGGAGCUGGGAGAUGGCAGGGUUGGUGAAGCUCUUGCUGUGUAAGAAUGAGGGACUGAAUUCAGGUCCUCAGUACCAAGGUAAAAAGCUGGCUGCAG
RNAcentral lists this long non-coding RNA (711 nucleotides) under Mus pahari (shrew mouse). RNAcentral's name for it is "lncRNA (MGP_PahariEiJ_G0002270.1)". The record is from RNAcentral. Lineage: Eukaryota; Metazoa; Chordata; Mammalia; Rodentia; Muridae.